GUGAGUCAUCGAAUCUUUGAACGCAAAUUGCGCUCUGGGGUUCCCCCCGGAGCAUGCCUGGUUGAGUAUCAUUAACCAACUCAUCUAAAGUCAAAGUUUGCUUUGCAAAUUUUUUCAAAGGAUGGAUCUGAGGUUGUCUUGGAUGAAACAAUUCCAAGUCCCUUCAAGUUUAGAGAUGUGCAACUGACGAAAACCCGUUUGGUUCACAACUUCUGAUGUGGUAAUUGUCCCAGUGGCAUUUUAUAUCAUCAGUUGCUUGUAGCUUUGGGGCCGUCAACCUCGCAUCCAAAGAUUAAAUUU
RNAcentral lists this unclassified non-coding RNA (300 nucleotides) under uncultured fungus. Its description in RNAcentral is "sequence contains 5.8S rRNA gene, ITS2". The stretch from base 1 to 71 matches the Rfam family "5.8S ribosomal RNA", at positions 84 to 154 of the family's 154-position model. The record is from RNAcentral. Lineage: Eukaryota; Fungi.